Long non-coding RNA from Salvelinus namaycush (lake trout), 617 nucleotides. RefSeq lists it as uncharacterized. The record is from RefSeq and is a predicted model, not a curated record. NCBI's taxonomy places the organism in Eukaryota, Metazoa, Chordata, Actinopteri, Salmoniformes, Salmonidae. The transcript is spliced from 4 exons.
UCAGUUAAAUCUAUCAGAUCCUUUCAGAUUUACAUGAGUGGGUGUGGUGCAGGAGCUAAGGGUUGAUUUGGAAUGCUUGCUCAAUUUCACACAUUCUUGACUCUGUAUGCUGUGCUCUCUGAGGGUUUGCUGUGCGAAACCUGUAACCCCCCCGAGAGAAUGCCUCAGACGAAUAAAGCGAAUAGUUCUGCAGCAGGCGGGCGGCCCUUGGCAGGUGCUUGCACCGGACCAUGGUGAACCAUCGCCACCUCAAGCCGAGCCCACGGACCGAGGAGGAGGAGAGGAAGUCCAGGGAGACCUCCAGACAAGUCACCCAGCGAUCCCAAGAAGUACAGGUGAUCUCCUCAGCCCUGGCCCUGCUCACCCCACAGAGGGCCAGACUGCUUCUGCUGUCUCCAGAGCACGAGGGCCACUGUUCCCUGGAGGAGAAGUGGUUCAGCACCAACUACAGCUAGGAGGACCUCACUGAGGAGUGGCCACAGCGCUGGGCCAGAGACUUUGACCUCAACCCUGACCUCCACCUGCCCGCUGAGAACAAGUUCAUUGCAACGGAUUUCACCCUGAAACCGUUGGACUGUAAAGACACAGAUGUCCCGGUGUGGAUAGUGAACAACGAG